ACGGGAGGCAGCAGCUAAGAAUAUUCCGCAAUGGAGGAAACUCUGACGGAGCGACGCCGCGUGGAUGAUGAAGGUCGGAAGAUUGUAAAAUCCUUUUAAGUAUGAUGAAUAACCUGUUCAGGAAAUGGGAUAGGGAUGACCGUAAUACUUGAAUAAGCAACGGCUAAUUACGUGCCAGCAGCCGCGGUAACACGUAAGUUGCGAGCGUUGUUCGGAAUUAUUGGGCGUAAAGGGCAUGUAGGCGGUUUUGCAAGCUUGAUGUGAAAUGCCGGGGCUUAACUCCGGCACUGCGUUGAGAACUGCAUGACUAGAGUAACUGAGGGGCAGCCGGAAUUCCAGGUGUAGGGGUGAAAUCUGUAGAUAUCUGGAAGAACACCAAUGGCGAAGGCAGGCUACCAGCAGAUUACUGACGCUGAGGUGCGAAGGUGCGGGGAGCAAACAGGAUUAGAUACCCUGGUA
Molecule: ribosomal RNA, 459 nt
Filed under: uncultured Treponema sp.
Lineage: Bacteria; Pseudomonadati; Spirochaetota; Spirochaetia; Treponematales; Treponemataceae
Description: partial 16S ribosomal RNA
Rfam family: Bacterial small subunit ribosomal RNA
Source: RNAcentral